This is a long non-coding RNA of Carassius auratus (goldfish), 374 nucleotides long. RefSeq lists it as uncharacterized. The transcript has 3 exons. NCBI's taxonomy places the organism in Eukaryota, Metazoa, Chordata, Actinopteri, Cypriniformes, Cyprinidae. The record is from RefSeq and is a predicted model, not a curated record.
GUGAACCUACUGUAAGACAACAUCUCCAAGAUGCUAUUGACCACAAGACUAGUACAGGUUAUUAGAAACUGAACAGCACAGGACUUGCAGAACUUGUGAGGGCUUCAGAUGAUACCAGUACUCAAAAGACCUUAGAUGAUGGCAGCUAUAGAUGGACAUACAAACUACCGCCACUGCAAAAAAGAUUCUAAUUUGAAAGAAGUUUAUAAUGCAUGUUCGCUACUCCCAAUUCAGAAGACUGAAUCAGCCUGUGUAUCUGAAUGUUUCUCAUACUCACUCCUCUCUGCCGCGUCUGAAUUUGGGAUUGUCCUUCGCUGUCAGUUAUAAACGUCAAAAUAAAAAAAAGAAAUAAACAUUUGAAAUAUAUCAGUCUG